CAUCUUUAAUAGGAUGUUACGAUUGUGUGAAUACAUAGCACAUUCGAGGUAGACGCAGAGAACUGAAACAUCUAAGUACCUGCAGGAAGAGAAAGAAAAUUCGAUUCCCUGAGUAGCGGCGAGCGAAACGGGAAAAGCCCAAACCAACAAGCUUGCUUGUUGGGGUUGUAGGACUCCAAUAUGGUCGUUCUUUCAGAUAGUCGAAUGACUUGGAAAAGUCAGUCAAAGAGGGUAAAAACCCCGUAGACGAAAUGUGGAAGACACCUAGGAGGAUCCUGAGUACGGCGGAACACGAGAAAUUCCGUCGGAAUCCGGGAGGACCAUCUCCCAAGGCUAAAUACUCCCUAGUGACCGAUAGUGAACCAGUACCGUGAGGGAAAGGUGAAAAGCACCCCGGAAGGGGAGUGAAAUAGAACCUGAAACCGUGUGCCUACAACAAGUCAAAGCCCGUUAAUGGGUGAUGGCGUGCCUUUUGUAGAAUGAACCGGCGAGUUACGAUUGCAUGCGAGGUUAAGUUGAAGAGACGGAGCCGCAGCGAAAGCGAGUCUGAAUAGGGCGUUUGAGUAUGUAGUCGUAGACCCGAAACCAUGUGAUCUACCCAUGUCCAGGUUGAAGGUGCGGUAAAACGCACUGGAGGACCGAACCCACGUACGUUGAAAAGUGCGGGGAUGAGGUGUGGGUAGCGGAGAAAUUCCAAACGAACUUGGAGAUAGCUGGUUCUCUCCGAAAUAGCUUUAGGGCUAGCCUCGGAAUUGAGAAUGAUGGAGGUAGAGCACUGUUUGGACUAGGGGCCCAUCUCGGGUUACCGAAUUCAGAUAAACUCCGAAUGCCAUUCAUUCAUAUCCGGGAGUCAGACUGUGAGUGAUAAGAUCCAUAGUCGAAAGGGAAACAGCCCAGACCACCAGCUAAGGUCCCAAAAUAUAUGUUAAGUGGAAAAGGAUGUG
This 944-nucleotide ribosomal RNA is filed under the name Enterococcus faecium. RNAcentral describes it as "partial 23S ribosomal RNA". It matches the Rfam family "Bacterial large subunit ribosomal RNA", at positions 132 to 1077 of the family's 2925-position model. The record is from RNAcentral. Lineage: Bacteria; Bacillati; Bacillota; Bacilli; Lactobacillales; Enterococcaceae.